UUAUAUAUGAAUCCACUAAUUUAAUAGAAAAUAUAUAGAUUAUAUGUUCAAUUACUUUUGCAAACUUCUGAUCACCCUCACCCACAAAUUCUCUUUUCUGAUCUCCUGACCCUCCUGAUUUACAAAUAUUAGUACAUCUUUCAAAAUGAUAAUUCAGGUAUCUCCUUUUACACUAUUGUGCAGGCUUUCAAGUUUGCUCUUGCGUAAACAAUGCAGUUUAGAGAAACAAGCAAGUUACUAUUCUAGCAAGUUGCUCUAUAGUAUUCAGUAUUUACCUGAAUAGUGACAGCAAGCUAGUCUUCUGCAGGCUUCUUUUGUUACAUUAUUAAAUUAUUUUUCUGCCCUAUUUUUUUUUUCCUUUUUCAGAUUCAUUUAAUCUGUAUCCUACCUCCCUCUUUCUUUUUAAAUC
Molecule: long non-coding RNA, 409 nt
Organism: Oxyura jamaicensis (ruddy duck)
Lineage: Eukaryota; Metazoa; Chordata; Aves; Anseriformes; Anatidae
Exons: 2
Source: RefSeq, a predicted model, not a curated record